RNAcentral lists this long non-coding RNA (270 nucleotides) under Marmota monax (woodchuck). The record is from RNAcentral. Lineage: Eukaryota; Metazoa; Chordata; Mammalia; Rodentia; Sciuridae.
ACAGGUUCACUAACGGGGGGCAAGGAAAAAAGGGUUGCCCAUUUUCACUAUCAGUGGAGUUUGAUGGAAAGAGACGUAUAUCUGGAGUUAAUCGCUAUUAUAAAUCAAAGGGUUUGGAGAACAUUGAUUAAGGAAGCAUUUUCCUGACUGAUGAAAAAAAUUCAGUAUGGUCAUCUACCCCUGCUAGAAGGUUAUUUGAUAUAUUAUGUAGCAUGCAGUGUGUUAAGUAAUACAUAAUCAAAAUAAAAUGAAAACCAAAAUAAAAUGAAC